UCUCAAAGGUUUUUGGAAACUCUGAAGAAAAUAAGCAGAUUACACGUAAAUGGAGUAGCUUUUCACUCUUGUUUGAAGUAUCCUACUUGAAUUUGAGAUUGGAAAAGUUAAGAUGCUCAUACUAAAAGAAGUGAUACAUAUGCUUCAAAUCUCUUUGAUAUAUAGAGACAUGGACACCAACUAACUGUGGUGUGAAGACUCCUUUGAAAAUUGGACUUCCACAGUAGAGCUUAACGGGUAAAAGCAUGCAUUUAGGAGUAAGCAGGGGGCCUGAACUUUGGUGUUAUCAGUAACCAGCUAUGUAACCAUGGGUCAAGGCUAUUGCACAAACACAGUCAGACUUCAUUAGAACAAGCAUGGAAAUCUGAGAUGUAACAUGUGCAUCAGGCACUCACAUGGCACAGCCUGGCAGCUGUCCCUGAGGACAUCAAAUACAGCUCAGAGUGAAAGGUUACUCAGCUUCUCAAACUCAGCCAUAGACCAUGAGAAGUUCUCAGGAAGAUAAAGGCCAAUCUGAAAGAUGAAAAGGUAUCAGAGGCAUGCAGGCACAGAGAAAAAGCCAUUUGAGGCCAUCCUCAAGAAGAAGCCAUCUGUAAGCCACAGAGUGGGGCCUUAGGAGAAGCCAAGCUGUCAGCACCUUGAUCUUGGACUUCCAGCCUCUAGAACUGUGAGAAAUAAAUUCCUAUUGUUUAAACCA
Long non-coding RNA from Homo sapiens (human), 697 nucleotides. RefSeq lists it as uncharacterized. The transcript is spliced from 5 exons. The record is from RefSeq and is a predicted model, not a curated record. Lineage: Eukaryota; Metazoa; Chordata; Mammalia; Primates; Hominidae.